UUAGCCCUUAACCUAAAAAAUCAACACAACAACAUUAUUCGCCAGAGUACUACUAGCAACAGCUUAAAACUCAAAGGACUUGGCGGUGCUUUAUACCCCUCUAGAGGAGCCUGUCCUAUAAUCGAUAAACCCCGAUAAACCUCACCAGCUCUUGCCAAUUCAGCCUAUAUACCGCCAUCCUCAGCAAACCCUAAAAAGGAACUGUAGUAAGCACAAACAUAAACAUAAAAACGUUAGGUCAAGGUGUAGCCUAUGAGCUGGGAAGAGAUGGGCUACAUUUUCUUCUUAAAGAACACUUAAAACUAUACGGAAGCCCCCAUGCAACAGGGAGCGGAAGGUGGAUUUAGUAGUAAAUCAAGAACAAAGAGCUUGAUUGAAUCAGGCCAUGAAGCACGCACAACACCGCCCCGUCACCCUCUGCAGUCAA
RNAcentral lists this ribosomal RNA (427 nucleotides) under Kerivoula papillosa (papillose woolly bat). Its description in RNAcentral is "partial 12S ribosomal RNA". The stretch from base 45 to 427 matches the Rfam family "Bacterial small subunit ribosomal RNA", at positions 875 to 1414 of the family's 1533-position model. The record is from RNAcentral. Lineage: Eukaryota; Metazoa; Chordata; Mammalia; Chiroptera; Vespertilionidae.